GCUAGCGUUGCUCGGACUUACUGGGCGUAAAGGGCGCGUAGGCGGAUACUUAAGUCGGGGGUGAAAGCCCAGGGCUCAACCCUGGAAUAGCCUUCGAUACUGGGUAUCUUGAGUUCGGGAGAGGUGAGUGGAACUCCGAGUGUAGAGGUGAAAUUCGUAGAUAUUCGGAAGAACACCAGUGGCGAAGGCGACUCACUGGCCCGAUACUGACGCUGAGGCACGAAAGCGUGGGGAGCAAACAGG
Molecule: ribosomal RNA, 243 nt
Filed under: uncultured bacterium
Lineage: Bacteria
Description: partial 16S ribosomal RNA
Rfam family: Bacterial small subunit ribosomal RNA
Source: RNAcentral